Molecule: unclassified non-coding RNA, 273 nt
Filed under: Hevea brasiliensis (rubber tree)
Lineage: Eukaryota; Viridiplantae; Streptophyta; Magnoliopsida; Malpighiales; Euphorbiaceae
Source: RNAcentral
AAAAAAGUUUAUUUACUGCAGCAAUCCAUAGUGACAGGAAUUACAGAGGUUCAACAUGAUGGUACACAAUACACACAUCAACAUGUUCAAUGUUCACGAUAAGAUAGAAGUUUAAUCCGACACCAAGCUUAGUAAAAAACAGAAGCGACUAAUUUAACAUAAAAGCCUUUAGCUUUUUGCCAGUUAAGGAGUUCCGCACAUUGUAAAAUUAGUCUUCUGCAUUCUUCACAACAGUAACAGGGCACGUAGCAUUAUUCACCACAUAGUUGCUUA